This is a long non-coding RNA of Mustela erminea (ermine), 599 nucleotides long. RefSeq lists it as uncharacterized. The record is from RefSeq and is a predicted model, not a curated record. NCBI's taxonomy places the organism in Eukaryota, Metazoa, Chordata, Mammalia, Carnivora, Mustelidae. The transcript is spliced from 3 exons.
AAUAAAUAAAAAAUCUUAAAAAAAAAAAAAAAAAGAUUCAGGCUGAAGAACACACAAUGCCGGACAUACCAACUUGGGCUCCCAUGAUUGAAGUACUGCAGCCACUGCCACCCCCGCCCCCCACGCUGUUUGAGACCGGAAAACAUCGUUCUUACCUGUAUUAUUAGGGCUUCCCUACAAAAACGUUUUAAUAGUAAAACUUCAGCUGGAAUUUUCCUGCCCGACUGUAUAAAUGUUUGAAGGGUUGGAUUUUUAUUUUCCACCUAACUUGACACCUUCCCUUUUUGCGUCCUCCAGAAUGCAUUUCCUUACUGUAAGUUUACCUGCAGCUGCCAAACAAUGGAAUUCACCAUCAAUGUGCAGGAAGGGGAAUGCAGUCCCUUACAGGGACCUUCAGCAUUUUUUUGAGUUCUGCUAAUGAAGAAGAAACUCCCAGCCCCACCUCAAGAACAUCAAACAUCAUGCAAUGAUACUUCCAUUGCCCAGACUGACACAUCGCUAAGCCCUGAAAUGGAAAAACCAAAGCAGUUGGUUUUACCUUAUGGUAAGUCACAUCAUCAGGUUCAAGGAGCAGUUGCUUGAAGACGAAACAAAGGAGC